UACGGAGGAUCCGAGCGUUAUCCGGAUUUAUUGGGUUUAAAGGGUGCGUAGGCGGCCUAUUAAGUCAGGGGUGAAAGACGGUAGCUUAACUAUCGCAGUGCCUUUGAUACUGAUGGGCUUGAAUGUACUUGAGGUAGGCGGAAUGUGACAAGUAGCGGUGAAAUGCAUAGAUAUGUCACAGAACACCAAUUGCGAAGGCAGCUUACUAAAGUAUGAUUGACGCUGAGGCACGAAAGCGUGAGGAUCAAACAGG
This 253-nucleotide ribosomal RNA is filed under the name uncultured bacterium. Its description in RNAcentral is "partial 16S ribosomal RNA". It matches the Rfam family "Bacterial small subunit ribosomal RNA", at positions 524 to 776 of the family's 1533-position model. The record is from RNAcentral.